UUUUAAAGCCCAUGCGAGUCGAAUGUAGCAAUACAUGGCGAACUGCUCAGUAACACGUGGACAACCUGCCCUUUAGGUUGGGUAUAAACCCGGGAAACUGGGUAUAAUACCCGAUAGGUCUCGAUUGCUGGAAUGCAUCGAGAUUUAAAGCUCCGGCGCCUAAGGAUGGGUCUGCGGCCUAUCAGGUAGUAGUGGGUGUAGCGUACCUACUAGCCUACGACGGGUACGGGUUGUGAGAGCAAGAGCCCGGAGAUGGAUUCUGAGACACGAAUCCAGGCCCUACGGGGUGCAGCAGGCGCGAAAACUUUACAAUGCUGGCAACAGCGAUAAGGGGACCUCGAGUGCCAGGUUACAAAUCUGGCUGUCGUGAUGCCUAAAAAGCAUUGCAUAGCAAGGGCCGGGCAAGACCGGUGCCAGCCGCCGCGGUAACACCGGCGGCUCGAGUGGUAACCGUUAUUAUUGGGUCUAAAGGGUCUGUAGCCGGCCGGAUAAGUCUCUUGAGAAAUCCAGCAGCUCAACUGUUGGGCUUUCAGGAGAUACUGUUCGGCUCGAGGCCGGGAGAGGUGAGAGGUACUUCAGGGGUAGGGGUGAAAUCUUGUAAUCCUUGAAGGACCACCAGUGGCGAAGGCGUCUCACCAGAACGGACCUGACGGCAAGGGACGAAAGCUAGGGGCACGAACCGGAUUAGAUACCCGGGUAGUCCUAGCCGUAAACGAUACUCGCUAGGUGUCGGCCACGGUGCGACCGUUGUCGGUGCCGUAGGGAAGCCGUGAAGCGAGCCACCUGGGAAGUACGGCCGCAAGGCUGAAACUUAAAGGAAUUGGCGGGGGAGCACCACAACGGGUGGAGCUUGCGGUUUAAUUGGAUUCAACGCCGGAAAUCUUACCGGGACCGACAGCAACAUGAAGGCCAGGCUGAAGACUUUGCCGGAUUAGCUGAGAGGUGGUGCAUGGCCGUCGUCAGUCGUACUGAA
Molecule: ribosomal RNA, 973 nt
Filed under: uncultured Methanosaeta sp.
Lineage: Archaea; Methanobacteriati; Methanobacteriota; Methanomicrobia; Methanotrichales; Methanotrichaceae
Description: bacterial SSU rRNA
Rfam family: Archaeal small subunit ribosomal RNA
Source: RNAcentral